GACGAACGCUGGCGGCGUGCUUAACACAUGCAUGUCGAACGAUGAAGCUGGAGCUUGCUCCGGUGGAUUAGUGGCGAACGGGUGAGUAACACGUGAGUAAUCUGCCCUUGACUCUGGGAUAACUGCGGGAAACUGUAGCUAAUACCGGAUACGACACCUUCGGUCAUCCGAUGGGUGUGGAAAGAAUUUCGGUCAAGGAUGAACUCGCGGCCUAUCAGCUAGUUGGUGAGGUAAUGGCUCACCAAGGCGACGACGGGUAGCCGGCCUGAGAGGGUGACCGGCCACACUGGGACGGAGGCACGGCCCGGACUGCUUCGGGAGGCAGCAGUGGGGGAUAUUGCACAAUGGGCGAAAGCCUGAUGCAGCAGCGACGCGUGGGGGAUGAAGGCCUUCGGGUUGUAAACCUCUUUUAGUUGGGAAGCAGGGGAAGUGACGGUACCAACAGAAAAAGCACCGGCUAACUACGUGCCAGCCGCCGCAGUAA
This 484-nucleotide ribosomal RNA is filed under the name uncultured bacterium. RNAcentral's name for it is "partial 16S ribosomal RNA". It matches the Rfam family "Bacterial small subunit ribosomal RNA", at positions 28 to 523 of the family's 1533-position model. The record is from RNAcentral.